GGCGACAUGGCCAAGCGGUAAGGCGAGGAAUUACAAAUCCCUUAUUCCCCAGUUCAAAUCCGGGUGUCGCCU
This 72-nucleotide transfer RNA is filed under the name Gossypium arboreum. It matches the Rfam family "tRNA". Rfam says of the family: Transfer RNA (tRNA) molecules are approximately 80 nucleotides in length. Their secondary structure includes four short double-helical elements and three loops (D, anti-codon, and T loops). Lineage: Eukaryota; Viridiplantae; Streptophyta; Magnoliopsida; Malvales; Malvaceae. The record is from Rfam by way of RNAcentral.